UACGUAGGGGGCUAGCGUUGUCCGGAUUUAUUGGGCGUAAAGAGCGUGUAGGCGGCCAGAUAGGUCUGCUGUGAAAACUCGAGGCUCAACCUCGAGAUGUCGGCGGAAACCAUUUGGCUAGAGUCCGGAAGAGGAAAGUGGAAUUCCUGGUGUAGCGGCGAAAUGCGCAGAUAUCAGGAAGAACACCCGUGGCGGAGGCGGCUUUCUGGGACGGUACUGACGCUGAGACGCGAAAGCGUGGGGAGCGAACAGG
This 253-nucleotide ribosomal RNA is filed under the name uncultured bacterium. RNAcentral's name for it is "partial 16S ribosomal RNA". It matches the Rfam family "Bacterial small subunit ribosomal RNA", at positions 524 to 776 of the family's 1533-position model. The record is from RNAcentral.